This 510-nucleotide ribosomal RNA is filed under the name uncultured Acaulospora. Its description in RNAcentral is "SSU rRNA". It matches the Rfam family "Eukaryotic small subunit ribosomal RNA", at positions 569 to 1078 of the family's 1831-position model. The record is from RNAcentral. Lineage: Eukaryota; Fungi; Glomeromycota; Glomeromycetes; Diversisporales; Acaulosporaceae.
AGCAGCCGCGGUAAUUCCAGCUCCAAUAGCGUAUAUUAAAGUUGUUGCAGUUAAAAAGCUCGUAGUUGAAUUUCGGAGUUUGUCGGUUGGUCGGGCUUCAUUGUCCGCACUGACCUGAUGGAUUCCUACCUUCUGAAUAACCAGCAUGCUAUUAAGUUAGUGCGUUGGGGAAGCAGAGCUAUUACCUUGAAAAAAUUAGAGUGCUUAAAGCAGGCUUAUGCUUGAAUAGAUUAGCAUGGAAUAAUAAAAUAGGACGGCAUGGUUCUAUUUUGUUGGUUUCUAGGAUCACCGUAAUGAUUAAUAGGGAUAGUUGGGGGCAUUAGUAUUCAAUUGUCAGAGGUGAAAUUCUUGGAUUUAUUGAAGACUAACUUCUGCGAAAGCAUUUGCCAAGGAUGUUUUCAUUAAUCAAGAACGAAAGUUAGGGGAUCGAAGACGAUCAGAUACCGUCGUAGUCUUAACCAUAAACUAUGCCGACUAGGGAUCGGACGAUGUUAAUUUUUUAAUGACUCG